UACGGCUGGCAGUAGUCUAGGUGCCAGGAUGCUGCAGGGAGGGGUGAAGAAAGGACUGCUGCUACGUAACAUGCAAGUGGACUGACCCCUGACCUUUAAACCCUGACCUCUAACCUCUAACCUCAGACAUUCAACCAUCGCACAGGACUAGGCUCCCUUUGUACAGAUCUAGGAUCAGCUUCCCCUCCCCAAUCCUAACCUUAACCCUUUACACUCGUACUCGUAUCCAUCCGGGUUGAAAAUGGCAGAUUUGGGCACCAAUAAAUACCUAAAUUGGAACGUAAUGCUCAUCAUAGCGAUGUAUGAGUUUUGACUGACAGACAUUCUGAACUUGAGCACCUCACGCAACGUAAAGCUACAACCCAUCCCUCCUCGUAACCUUUGCAAAUGUUUUGUUGUCUGAGUGAAGGGAAAAUGCUGUAAAUUAAGAGGACCAGAUGCAUUUUGUUGAGGAUUGUAAUAAAUAUCGCUUUGAUGUCAUGUAUCGCCUGUGAGUACGGGUUGUUACGGUUACCAGAUGACUUGUCGUCAUACCCUGGGUUGUUCUGAACAGAAUGAGACUAUGUUAGAUGUACAGUUACCAGAUGACUUGUCGUCAUACCCUGGGUUGUUCUGAACAGAAUGAGACUAUGUUAGAUGUACAGUUACCAGAUGACUUGUCGUCAUACCCUGGGUUGUUCUGAACAGAAUGAGACUAUGGGUGAUGUAGUUACCAGAUGACUUGUCGUCAUACCCUGGGUUGUUCUGAACAGAAUGAGUCUAUGGGUGAUGUAGUUACCAGAUGACUUGUCGUCAUACCCUGGGUUGUUCUGAACAGAAUGAGACUAUGGGUGAUGUAGUUACCAGAUGACUUGUCGUCAUACCCUGGGUUGUUCUGAACAGAAUGAGACUAUGGGUGAUGUAGUUACCAGAUGACUUGUCGUCAUACCCUGGGUUGUUCUGAACAGAAUGAGACUAUGGUUGAUGUACAGUUACCAGAUGACUUGUCGUCAUACCCUGGGUUGUUCUGAACAGAAUGAGACUAUGUUAGAUGUACAGUUACCAGAUGACUUGUCGUCAUACCCUGGGUUGUUCUGAACAGAAUGAGACUAUGUUAGAUGUACAGUUACCAGGUGACUUGUCGUCAUACCCUGGGUUGUUCUGAACAGAAUGAGACUAUGUUAGAUGUACAGUUACCAGAUGACUUGUCGUCAUACCCUGGGUUGUUCUGAACAGAAUGAGACUAUGUUAGGUGUACAGUUCCCAGAUGACUUGUCGUCAUACCCUGGGUUGUUCUGAACAGAAUGAGACUAUGGGUGAUGUAGUUACCAGAUGACUUGUCGUCAUACCCUGGGUUGUUCUGAACAGAAUGAGACUAUGGGUGAUGUAGUUACCAGAUGACUUGUCGUCAUACCCUGGGUUGUUCUGAACAGAAUGAGACUAUGGUUGAUGUAGUUACCAGAUGACUUGUCGUCAUACCCUGGGUUGUUCUGAACAGAAUGAGACUAUGGUUGAUGUAGUUACCAGAUGACUUGUCGUCAUACCCUGGGUUGUUCUGAACAGAAUGAGACUAUGUUAGAUGUACGGUUGCCAGAUGACUUGUCGUCAUACCCUGGGUUGUUCUGAACAGAAUUGAGACUGUUUGCCAUUGCACACGCACCUGAAUACGGUCAUCACUCCUUUCUCUGCACGCCAACAUGAUGGUCUGUUUCUCUGAAUUGCCUUGUGAAAGCCUAACACUGUAAUAUCAUAUUUUUAUAUCUUAGCUGGU
This is a long non-coding RNA of Oncorhynchus keta (chum salmon), 1750 nucleotides long. RefSeq lists it as uncharacterized. The record is from RefSeq and is a predicted model, not a curated record. Lineage: Eukaryota; Metazoa; Chordata; Actinopteri; Salmoniformes; Salmonidae. The transcript is spliced from 6 exons.